RNAcentral lists this long non-coding RNA (28230 nucleotides) under Lathyrus oleraceus (garden pea). RNAcentral's name for it is "Pisum sativum (pea) long non-coding RNA (PSAT_LNC012220)". The record is from RNAcentral. Lineage: Eukaryota; Viridiplantae; Streptophyta; Magnoliopsida; Fabales; Fabaceae.
AAGAUCAUGGAGUUGCUAGCUUGGAUGUGGCUAUCUUUAUUUGAUGUGUUGUUCUUCAUCUUGCUUUUUGUGUGUUGAUAUUGCUUGAUUCUAAAGUCCAAUGGAAAAUUGGGUUUCUAUAUGGCAUUCUUGUCUAUUGGAUUGCAUCCCAUUGGUCAGAUCUUUUCAACUCUUAACUUUUAAAUUCUUGCUUAGGAUUAGUCUCUUCAUCUCUUCCCACUUCUUUAAUUUCAAAUCUAUCCCUCCAUUUAAAAUAUUCUUUGCUUGUGUUUUUCUAAACUUAGACUUUAUUACAAAAUUAGAAACUUUGGCCUUAUGCCGUUGCUUUUUCAAACUUUUUUUCUUAACCAAAUUUGUAAACGAACUUAACUAUACUUGACUUAAAAUUUUCAAAAGCCAAAAAGAACCAAUACUCAUUCAAACCUUUUAGGCCCCUUCGUGCCUCCUUCAAACUUAAAAUUUUGUUAAAAGCAACUCAUUCACUUUGAAAUUGAUACCACGAACUACAAGGUUUUGAUCCCUCAUUUUUAUGUUGGUACUUAGGCACGAGUCUGAAGGUCUUGUCAAACACAAAAAUAUAAUCAAUGAAUUCUUUUCUCAUCCCUCCACUCUAUUUAUUGCAAACAUCAUUUUAUACAAAAACACAUAUGCACACAAGAAAGGGCUCCCUAGGAGUACCUAGGAUACUUUAGGUGCUAACACCUUUCCUCUGUGUAAUCAACUCCCUUACUUGUAAUCUCUGGCAUUUUAUUAUUUUUGGUUUGAAAACUUCUUACAUGGGGAUUUUGUUCGUACUUUUCUCUUUUCCCUUGGAAACAAUAAAAGCGCGGUGGUGACUCCGAUUUUAUUGACGUUAAGUUUAUCCAUACUUAAUGGUCAUGAAUUUACCACUACAUAAAUUAAGUGGCGACUCUGCUGGGAGUAGUCUCUAGUGGGUUUAGCCUACUUUUGUGUGUGUAUAUAUUUGUGUAUUUGAUGUAGGUAUAUUUGUUGGUAUGAUAUAAUCUGCUUGUUGUGCUUGGUGACCUCUGAGUGGUGAGAUAAGUUCUAACCCUAACUUGAGUGCAAUUAAGAUAGGAAGAUGGCAUAGUCAUGUUCGACUUGUGUGGAGUAGUCCUUAACAAGUUGGCUUAAGACCCAUCUACUCAGUGGAGACCCUUUUAGAGCUAUUAAUGUCACACAAGUAAUUUGUGGUUAGGUAUUACUUCCUUUAAUUUGGGGUCCGAGAAGCUAAGGACCGUAGAAUAUUUAACCCAUCUUGGCCUAUUUAGUACGUAGUGCGGAGACUGUUCAAGUGUAGACUUGAUAACAGUUGUUACGCGAUACUACACUCAGACGAGUUUCUCUUGAGAAUAUUACGGCUUGAUGAGUCAGUCAUCCUAACCUAUAAUAUCCGAUAGAUGGAAUUAAGACUCUGAGAACUUUUUAGAACAUGAUCUACAGGUUUUUGUCCUUAGUACACCCCUUUGGGAUGGUUCUUAACCUGACUUUAUGCUCGUGACUCAAAACAAACCCUUGAUUCUUGGUUGAUCCAAUCAAGUCUUAUCAAUGUCAAUGGAACUUGGGUGUUGAUAAGGUGAAAACCGUAAUCCACCAAAAUGGAUGAUUGAUCUUGACAAUGACUCGAUUCAUCCCUUGACCUUUGUUUGUUUACCUUGUGUGUGAUCCCUUAUUUGUGAUUGUUGCAUUCAUGCAUUCAUGCGCAUCAUAACAUUCAUCACUCCAAAAUUAGCCUUAAGGAACUGAGGUUUUAUUUGCAAAUAUUUUUAGACCAUGGAUUAUGGACGAAGGAACACUAAGAAGUACAAUUUCAGAUGUCCGGAUUUGAAAGAGUUAAGGAAGCUAUCAUCUUUUGUAUUAGAUCCCUUGGACAUUAAGCAACUUCAUAGGAAGCUUCUGUCUGUAUUGUCUACUGAUGUGAUAGAAGGACUCUUGAGUGUGUUGGUUCAGUUUUAUGACUCUCUCUACCGUUGCUUCACUUUUCCGGAUUAUCAGCUUGUACCUACGUUGGAGGAGUAUCCCCAUCUCUUGGGAAUACCUGUUUCUAGCUAAGUGUCGUUUAGUGGAUUGGAAGAGAUUCCAAGAUCUCAUAUUAUAGAUGAAGCUUUUCACUUGAAGAAGUAUGAGAUAGAGGCUCAUUGGGUGAAGAAAGGAAGAAUGUUUGGGUUGACUUCUGAGUUCCUCAUCAAGGAAGCUAAUGCCUUUGCUCAAGUCGGUAGUGUGAAUGCUUUUGAAGUUAUCUUUGUGUUGCUCAUCUAUCGUUUGGCUUUGUUCCCUAACAUUGACGGUUUUGUUGAUGUUAACGCCAUUAGAAUCUUCUUGAUUGGGAAUCUUGUGUAUACUUUGUUGGGAGAUAUGUACUUGUCUUUGCAUCUAAGGAAUUCUAAAGGUGGUGGAACGAUUGUUUGUUGUGUUCCUCUUCUGUACAAGUGAUUUAUUUCGCACUUGCCUCAGACGCCUACUUUUGUGGAGAACAAACAAUGUCUAUGGUUGUCUUAGAGACUUAUGUCUCUCACUAAUGAUGAUAUAGUUUGGUAUGAUUCUUCAUUGGGUAGCUUGGAGAUUAUUGAUAGUUGUGGUAAAUUCUCUAAUGUGCCUCUCAUUGGUACAGAAGGAGGAAUCAACUACAACCCUACUUUGGCUCGUCAUCAACUUGGGUUCCCCUUAAGAGACAAACCUAAUAACACUUUAUUAGAAGGUCUUUUCUAUCAAGAGGGUAAAGAUCCCCAACAUUUGAAGUAGAAGAUUGUGGAUGCUUGGCAUAAUGUGCAUAGGAAAGGAAGAUCCGAGUUUGGUCCGUGCAACUGUGUAGCUUUGGAAGCUUACACUCUUUCGGUGAACAAGAGAGCAUUGGAAUUGAAGAUGCCGUAUGCUUGUGAGAGACCUAUGUCUAUGGUUGUGGCUGAGCCAUUAACUCUCCCUAACCAAGAUGUAGAGGAGUUGGAAGACGCACUCGCCAAGAUGAAGCAAGAAAAGGAUAUGUGGGAAGAGUGUUUCCAUGCUUUGACCCGAAAGCACGAGGAGUUACAGCUUGAUUCUAAGGACAAAGAUGCACUUAUCGAGCUUCUUUAAGACCGAGUAAUGAAGAGACAGAGAGAGCCAGAGGUUUCAUCUUUCUCUAGUAUGCCUUAGCCUUCAUAUGCUUGGAAGAAGAUUGUUGAUCAACUUGUUCUUGAGAAGGCUCAGAUGAAGACUUCUUUUGAGUCUAAGAUCCGACGCAUACGAAGGAAGUACGUGCCUACAACUAGAUCUUCUGAAAUUGUUGUUAGGGAUCCUUAGGAUGACUAGUCUCCUUCCCUCUUGUAUUUUGUAUUUUUGGUUUCUGAAAUUAUACUCAGUGUAAUCCUUACAAUUAUAUAAAUAAGAGAGAUUUUUUAUGGUCAAUCAGAUUGUACAAUUGUUAUUAUAUAUUUGCAAAUAAAAUAGCAUGUUCCUUGAAAAUAAAAACAAACAAGCAUUGCAUUUCAUGCAUCAUUUGCAUAGCAGGUUUUUCUUCUGCCAUAUGUCUCAUUGGUUAUUCUUAUGUGCUUCAGCCAAGCUGACUCAUCCAUCUAAUACCCGCGCCAAUCAUCCGCAAAUCAUGGAACACUUAGAGCAAGAGAACAGAGAACUGAAGGAUAAGAUCGCCCGCCUGACUUCCAUGAUGGACUCAAUUCUAGCUUCCCAUAGUCAAUCUUCUUCAACGCCUGCAACUCCUCCUCCGUAGAGGACUGUCAUUUCAUAGGUUGUGUCUUCAACUGUGUCUGCCACUCAGUUCUCUCCUGACAUGCCUGUCGGAUUGCCAUGGGGAAUGCCGUCCAACUUUCUGCCUGAAGGUUUUGCGCCUACCUUUGCUUCCAUGCCAGCAUCUAGCCCGGUCAUGGAUGUGCCACCACUGGUUGUUCAUAAUCUGCCUUGUGUUGAGCAUACCAUUUAUCAUUCCGAGUCGUUUGAGGGUCCAGAUGUUUAUGAGAAGAUGGAUGAAAUGAAAGACCAAUUCCUUGAGCUGCGAAAGGAGUUGAAAACCUUGAGGGGAAAGAUUUGUUUGGUAAGAGUGUUGCGGAACUUUGCUUGGUUCCCAAUGUUAAGAUCCCGAUGAAGUUCAAAGUCUCUGACUUUGAAAAGUAUAAGGAGAACACCUGUCCACUCAGUCAUCUCAUCAUGUAUGCUAGAAAGAUGUGACGCAAACUAAUAAUGAUCAGUUACUAAUUCAUUAUUUUCAAGACAGUCUGACUGGUGCCGCUUUGAGGUGGUACAUGGGUUUGGAUAGUGCGAGUGUUCGCACGUUCAAUGAUUUGGGUAAAGCAUUUAUGAAGCAAUACAAAUAUAAUAUGGAUAUGGUGCCGAAUAGGGACCAGUUGAGGUCAUUGUCUCAGAAGGAUAAGGAGACGUUCAAAGAGUACGCCCAACGAUGGAGAGAGCUUACUGCUCAGGUUACCCCUCCUUUGGAGAAAAGGAGAUGACCAAGAUUUUUCUCAAGACCCUAAGCUCGUUUUACUAUGAGCGAAUGAUUUCUAGUGCCCCCAGUGAUUUUACCGAAAUGGUAAACAUGGGGAUGAGGUUAGAAGAAGGUGUCUAAGAGGGACGGUUGGCCAAAGAAUAGGUUCCAUCUAGCAAGAAGUACAGAAGUAGAUUUGCCAGAAAGAAAGAAGGCGAGACUACUGCAGUAUCUGUGGGGAGGCAGAGGAGGCCCCAUGUCAAAAGAAAUCUGCAAACCCAUCAACAUCAUCAUCAAGUGUCAUCUGUUAUUCCAGUAUUUUCAAACAAUCAAUCAACACCAGUUUAACAACAACGUCAAGAACCGCCACAACAAAGAACAAACAACUAUACCAACAAUAAUCAACAACAACAGAACUUCGAGAGGAAGAAGGUCUAUUUUGACUCGAUUCCUAUGACUUAUGCCGAAUUGUAUCCAUCAUUGGUUCUCAAGAACCUUAUGCAACCAAGAAAUCCUCCACAGAUUCUUGAACCACUUCCAUGGUGGUAUAAGCUGGAACUUUGUUGUGCCUUUCACCCAGGAGCUCCCGGUCAUGAUAUCGAGAAUUUCUACCCCAUGAAAUAUGUAGUCCAGAAGUUGGUCAAUAGUGGGAUGGUGUCCUUUGAGGACCGUGCGCCGAAUGUCAAAGCAAACCCAUUACCUGCUCAUGGUAAUCCUUUUGUUAACAUGGUAGAUGGUUGUCCUGGGGAGUUCAAGGUAUAUGAUGUUCGUUUCAUUAGAAGGUCCUUGGUGAGGAUGCACAAGGAUAUAUGUUUGGUGAGUGAUUGUGAGCAUGACCAUGACAAUUGUGCAAUUUGCAGUGUUAACCCCUGAGGUUGUGUAGUUGUGAAUAGAGACAUCCAGAGGUUGAUGGAUGAAGGUAUGAUCCAGAUUCUUCAGUACUGUCACUUAGGUGGCGAUGUGAAUGUAAUAGUGUCAGUAUUCAAGAUACCAGAGAGAGUGGUGGUCCAGUUUGACAGCAGCAGCAGUAACAGUGUCAGCAAUAGAUCAAUAUCGUCGUUGGUAAUACGGUUAGCGGGCCAUAUCCCGUAUGCAUCCGAUAGAGUUGUUAUGUACCAAUAUAAUGCUAUUAUGUUAGAGAAUGAUCAAGAAGUUCCUUUGCCUACAACCAAUUAUGUUGUGAGCAUUGCUGAUGUUACAAAAGUGACCCGUAACGGUCAUGUUUUUGGGCCUGUCCGAAGAGUGUAGAGGAUGUCAGUAAGAAGGUUUAAGUGCCUAUAGUUGAUCCAGUUAGUGCUCCAAAGUGUCAGCCUGGUGAAUCCAACAAUUUGAAGCCUAAUGAUGAUGAUGAGGUACUCUGUUUAAUCAAGAAGAGUGAGUUUAAUACGGUGGAGCAGCUGCUUCAAACUCCUUCCAAGAUUUCAGUGAUGUCUCUGCUUCUGAACUCUGAAGCGCACAGAGAGGCAUUGCAAAGAGCAUUGGAGCAAGCUUAUGUCAAGCAUGAUGUAACAGUAGACCAAUUCGAUCAUAUUGUGGCUAACAUUACUUCCUGCAACAACUUGAGCUUUUGUGAUGAAGAACUUCGCAAGGAAGGAAGGAAUCACAACUUAGCAUUACAUAUAUCGAUGAAUUGCAAGAAGGAUGUGUUGUCAAAUGUUUUGGUUGAUACCGGUUCUUCUUUGAAUGUACUCCCUAAGUCAACUCUUUCCAAAUUAUCGUAUCAAGGAGCUCCGAUGAGGUACAACGGUGUGAUUGUCAAAGGUUUUAAUGGUUCUCGCAAGACUGUAAUUGGUGAGGUGGACCUUCCUGUGAAGAUAGGUCCGAGUGAUUUCCAAAUUACUUUUCAAGUAAUGGACAUCCACCCAGCCUAUAGGUGCUUGUUAGGAAGGCCGUGGAUACAUGAAGCUGGAGUUGUUACUUCAACUUUGCAUCAGAAGUUGAAAUUCGUGAAGAAUGGUAAGCUUGUUAUCGUUGGUGGAGAGAAGGCUCUGUUGGUGAGCCAUCUGUCGUCUUUCUCUUAUGUAGAAGCUAAGGAUGAGAUUGGAACUCUGUUCCAAGAUCUAUCUAUUGCAGAAGAAAAGAGAGUUAGGGAACCCAUGUCCUCCUUCAAAAACGCGUAGAAGGUUGUUGAAGACGGUAAUUUUGAUCGGUGGGGCCGAAUGCUAGAGGUCGCCAAGAACAAGAGCAGAGCCGGUUUGGGUUUCCAACAAGGGACGUCUGUGAUUAAGGCUGAAGAUGUGCAACCCAGUUUCUGUAGCGGAGGGUUCAUUCAUGGUAAUGAACAACACUUAGCUUCCGUGAUCGAGGGUGAUGAAGAAGAAGACUGCACCAAUUUUGUGACGCAUGGAAAGGCUUGUAACAAUUGGAUUGAUGUCGAUAUUCCUGUUAUUAUGCCUCAUUCUAAGUAAUUACUUUUAUUAUUUUUGAAAAUCCUUCUCCUAUGCCUAAGGGAGAAGUGAACAUUGUUUGGAAUUUUCAAAUUUGAUCAUUAAUAAAAUGCAAUUCUAUUCACCCACAUCUAUGAGGUUUUCUUUUUACUUUUUGUGUUUCUGAAAAAAUUGGUAAUCAUAAAAAACAUAAAUAAGUAAAUAAUAAUUUUUCCAUCUGCAUAUAUUUGGUCACCAAUUCACUUCUCUAAAAUCAAAAUAUCAAAUCAUUAUGCAGGUUGGUUUCUAAACCCAUUGAAUAUAAUGAUCAUACUCCCUCGCCAAACUUUGAAUUCCCUGUGUUUGAGGUCGAGGAAGAAAGUGAUGAAGAAGUAUCUGAUGAAUUAUCUCGUCUACUUAAUCACGAGGAAAAAGCCAUUCAGCCUUUUGAAGAGAAGGUUGAGCUAGUCAACUUGGGUUCCGGGGAUGAUGUAAAGGAAGUCAAGAUCGGGUCUCGAUUAUGUCCAAAGAUUAAGAAGGGGUUGAUUGAUCUUCUCUGAGAGUAUUCAGAUGUGUUUGCUUGGUCCUAUCAAGACAUGCCUGGUUUGGAUUCUGAGAUUGUGGAGCAUAGAUUGUCGUUGAAGCCAGAAUGCCCGCCAGUCAAGCAGAAAUUGAGAAGGACUCAUCCUGAUAUGGCAGUAAAUAUCAAAUAAGAAAUGCAGAAGCAGAUUGAUGCCGGUUUCCUUGUUAUCGCUGAAUAUCCGCAGUGGGUGGCCAAUAUUGUGCUUGUUCCAAAAAAGGAUGGAAAAGUCCGUAUGUGCAUUAAUUAUAGAGAUUUGAACAAAGUCAGUCCGAAAGAUGAUUUCCCUCUUCCACACAUUGACAUGUUGGUAGACAACACAGCUAAAUUCAAAGUCUUUUCAUUUAUGGAUGGAUUUUCCGGAUACAAUCAGAUCAAGAUGGCACCCGAAGAUAUGGAGAAGACCAUAUUCAUUACACCUCGGGGAACAUUCUGUUAUAGAGUGAUGCCUUUCGGUUUAAAGAAUGUUGGUGCAACUUACCAGAGGGCAAUGACCACUCUUUUUCAUGAUAUGACGCAUAAAGAGAUCAAAGUUUAUGUUGACGAUAUGAUUGCCAAAUCCAUUGAUGAAGAAGAGCAUGUUGAGCAUUUGUUGAAGCUAUUCCAGCGUUUGAGGAAGUAUAAACUCCGCUUGAAUCCCAAUAAGUGUACAUUUGCUGUUCGUUCUGGUAAGUUGUUGGGCUUUAUUGUUAGUGAUAAGGGUAUUGUAGUUGAUCCUGCCAAGGUCAAAGCAAUACAAGAGAUGCCUGCGCCCAAAACUGAGAAGCAAGUCAGAGGUUUUCUUGGCCGCUUGAAGUAUAUCUCAAGAUUCAUUUCACACAUGACUGCCACAUGUGUGCCUAUAUUUAAGCUUCUUCGGAAAGAUCAGUCUUGUGAUUGGACCAAAGAUUUCCAUAAAGCUUUUGACAGUAUUAAAGAGUAUCUGCUUGAGCCUCUAAUUUUGUCUCCGCCUGUUGAAGGAAGACCGUUGAUCAUGUAUUUGACUGUGCUUGAUGAGAGUAUGGGCUGUGUUCUUGGUCAGCAAGAUGAAACUGGAAAGAAAGAAUAUGUUAUUUACUACCUCAGUAAGAAAUUCACUGACUGAGACUCGGUAUUCUAUGCUAGAGAAGACUUGUUACGCAUUGGCUUGGGUUGCUAAGCAUCUGCGUCAGUAUAUGUUGAAUCAUACCACUUGGUUGAUAUCCAAAAUGGAUCCAAACAAGUAUAUUUUUGAGAAGCCUGCUUUAACUGGGAGGAUUUCCCAUUGGCAGAUGUUGUUAUCAGAGUAUGAUAUUGAAUAUCGAUCUCAGAAAGCGAUUAAAGGUAAUGUCUUGGCUUACCAUUUGGCUCACCAACCAAUUGAAGAUUAUCAGUUAGUGCAGUAUGACUUCCCUGAUGAAGAGAUUUUGUACUUGAAAAUGAAAGGUUGUGAUGAACCAUUGCUUGAAGAUGGGCCAGAACCUGGUUCCCGUUGGGGCAUGGUAUUUGAUGGAGCUGUUAAUCAAUAUGGUAAUGGCAUUGGGGCAGUGAUUAUUACUCCUCAAGGCACUCAUUUUCCAUUUACAGCUAGAUUGACUUUCAAGUGUACGAAUAGUAUGGCUGAGUAUGAAGCUUUCAUUAUGGAGCUUGAAGAGACCAUUAAUCUCAAAAUCAAGUAUUUAGACGUCUAUGGAGAUUUGGCCUUGGUUAUAAAUCAAAUCAAAGGUGAAUGGGAGGGUGAAUCAACCCGUUUUGAUACCAUAUAGAGAUUAUGCGAGGAGGAUUUCAACUUUCUUUACAAAUGUUGAAUUUCAUCAUAUCCCUCGAGAUGAAAACCGGAUGGAAGAUGCUCUUGCAACGUUGGCUUCAAUGAUUAUGGUGAAGUAUUGGAAUGAAGUUCCCAACUUGAUUGUGAUGCGUCUUGAUAGGCCAGCUCAUGUGUUUGCUAUUUAAGAGGUCAAAGAUGAGAAACCAUGGUAUUUUGAUAUCAAAUGUUUCCUCCAAAGUCAGAUUUACCCGCUUGGGGAAUCUUUGAAAGAUAAGAAGACUUUGAGAAGAUUAGCCGGCAAUUUCUACAUGAAUGGUGAUGUAUUGUACAAGAGAAACUUCGAUAUGGUUCUACUGAGAUGCGUGGAUAGACACGAAGCAGACCUAUUGAUGACUGAAGUCCAUGAAGGUUCCUUUGGUACUCACUACAAUGGACAUGUUAUGGCUAAGAAGAUGUUGAGAGUAAGUUACUAUUGGCUGAGAAUGGAAUCUGAUUGUUGCAAGUUUGUGAAAAAUGCCACAAGUGUCAAAUUUAUGCAGAUAAGAUUCAAAUUCCUCUGACACUGUUGAACUUUAUUUCCUCCCCAUGGCCCUUCUCCAUGUGGGGAAUAGAUAUGAUUGGCAUGAUUGAGCCCAAAGCUUCGAACAGACAUCGUCUCAUUCUGGUGGCUAUUGACUACUUCAUAAAGUGGGUUAAAGCGGCAUCAUAUGCAAAUGUGACUAAGCAAGUUAUUGUGAGGUUUAUCAAGAAUCAGAUUAUAUGCUGAUAUGGUGUGCCAAGUAAGAUCUUUAUUGACAACGGAUCGAACUUGAAUAAUAAUAUGGUGGAGGCUCUUUGCAAAGACUUCAAGAUUGCACAUCAUAAUUCUUCUCACUACAAACCGAAGAUGAAUGGGGUUGUUGAAUCUGCAAACAAGAACAUCAAGAAUAUCAUCUAGAAGAUGGUUGUGACGUACAAAGAUUGGCAUGAGAUGAUCCCAUUUACUUUGCACGGGUAUCGUACAUCCAUCCGUACUUCAACAGGGGCAACCCCUUUCUCACUUGUUUAUGGCAUGGAAGUUGUGCUCCUGGUAAAGGUUGAGAUCCCAUCAUUAUGUGUCUUGAUGGAAGCCAAGUUGACUGAGGCUUAAUGGUGUCAGACCAGAUUUGAUCAGCUGAAUUUGAUUGAACAGAAAAGAUUAACUACCAUGUGCCAUGGCCAGUUAUACCAGCAAAGGAUGAAGAAAGCAUUUGAUAAGAAGGUCCGACCUCGUGUAUUCAAAGGAGGUGAUCUUGUGCUCAAGAAUAUUAAUCAGUCACCAUUUAUAGGGGGUGAUCUUGUGUAAUUUUUAUCUUGAAUUUGUUUUAAACAAUAUGAGUAGCUAAACCCCCCAAUGCUAGGGGGUGUCCCUGAUUUAGAAUUGUAAUGACGUUGAGUUUACAUUUGCAUUUAUAAUAUUUUGUUUACGGUAACCUUUUGAUGUGUUUAUUGCUUUCUCUUUCGGACCAAUUGAGAUUGAUCUAUGGUUAUCACUUAGGCUGGACUGCCAGUGAUAAGGUUUUCAUCAGGUUACUCUACAAUAUAUAUCACCUAGGACUAGGGAUACCCUGUAUGAACUAGAGCAUUCUUGAUAUUAUACAGCUUAACUUCACCCUAAUUGGCUAUGGACAUAGGAAUUAGGGUAGAUUGAUUAAAGGUUUUAUCACCAAGGACUUGGGAGAAAAUACCCUUGAGAACUGGUAGUAAUCGAUAUUUGUUGAUGCAAUAGUAACUCAGAGUUGUUACAGGGAUAAAUCAUACAUCUUCCCUGGCAUUGUUCCUUUUUCUCUAUAAACCCUUAUUUUCAUAUUUCUUUAUUAUUUUCUUUUUACACUCAAAAACCAAAUUAACACUUUUUGUUUAAUUGAAUGAUAAUUUAAAAUCAAUACUAACGUGCAGUCCUUCAGAUCGACAUUCGGGGAAUUUCCCCAUUAUUACUAUAAAAGGAAAAAUAGUACACUUGCUAUUUUCCCGAUCAAGUUUUUGGCGCCGUUGCCGGGGACUGCCCAAAAUAUAGAGUUUAAUUUUAUUUCAAUUAAAAUUGUGUUGCUCUGCAAUAAAAUUAUUUUCCUGUCAUUUAUAUUUUACUAACCAGUGUAUGCGAGGAAAACCCUCAGCUGAAAUUCUUUUUGACGCAAAGAUCGAGAGAACCCUUCACAGAAGACGCGGAGAACAAAGAGUGGAUUCUACAAAAGAAAGUACCUCGGAUCAACCAGAAGUCAAGGAACCAAUGGCUGAAGUUCCUCCAAUUCCACCUCCUCCACCUCCGGAAAGACUCCUAGGUGACUAUGGAGGUGCAAACGCACCGGGUGGUCGACUGACCAUUGUUAACCAACCGGUGAAUGUGACAAAUUUUCAACUGCAUCCUAGCAUAAUCAAUUAAUUGGAAAGAAAACCUUUUAUCGGAAAGGUUAAUGAAGAUGCCAACAAACACCUGCAAAGAUUUCUGACCAUGAGCACCACCUUGAAAAUUGAUGGUCACACUGAUGAAGCAAAAAAAUUAAGAAUGUUCCCGUUCACUUUAGCUGAAUACGCGGAAGAAUGGUUCUAUUCUCUCCCUACCGGUAGUAUCACUUCCUGGGAGGAGAUGGAAAUUGCAUUCUUAAAUGAGUAUUUUCCAGCAUCAGUAUUCUUGAGAAAAAGGUAUGAAAUUCUGAAUUUCAAACAGAAGGAUGGUGAAUCAUUGGGAGACACCUACAAAAGAUUCAAAAGGAUCUUAGUCGGGUGUCCCACUCAUGAUAUGGAUCAGACAGAACAAAUGCAGAUGUUCGUUAAUGGGCUGAAAAUAAAGACAAAAUAGUUGAUUGAUACAGCAGCCGGUGGCUCAACAAAUUUCUCAACAGCCACUGGUAUUAAGAGGAUUAUUGAAGCAAUAGCUCCUAAUGAGCAUCUAGAGCUAUAUGAAAGGUGUACAAGUCAGCCAGACGGGGUAAUUGAUCUUAAAUUAGAGACAAAUAAAAUCCGUCUGGAAGACACUGUUGUUGCCGAAGUAGACAAAAAGUUGAAAGCUAUGAAUAUAGGUACUCAACAGAUAGCACAGGUUCAGCCAGCUCAGGCGAGUACUUGUGAAAUCUGUAAUGGACCUCAUCACACAGUCUAUUGCUUUGCGAACUCCCCAACAAAUUGAAGAGAUCAAAUUCUUGAAGCAGAAUAAUCCUACUCUAAUACUUACAACCCAGGGUGGAAGAAUCAUCCAAACUUUUCCUGGAAAGAUCAGAGAGGGAAUGUUCCGCAACAAGGUACAUGGCAAUAUCAGACUCAGUAUCAGCACAAGCAACAACAAUAACAGGCACCUAAAAGGUUGAAUGGGAGAUUGCCAUUGAAAAGUUAGCAGCCCACAGUAUACAUUUCAAGAAGAAACAAGGACUAAUCAGAAAAACACCACAGCCUCCAUCAAAAAUCUUGAAGUUCAGAUGGGACAGAUAGCACAACAGUUGCAUCAAAACUCUCAAGCCCCUGGAACCCUACCUAGUGUACGGUGACAAAUCGCGGGAACAUAACACUGUUAACGUUGUCACAACCCGAAGUGGAAAGUCAACCGAGGUAAAUGAUAUAGAAAAAGAUGAUUAAUAGAGGUGGAUUUAGAAAUCAAGGAACAAAAAGUCCAAGAUGAAGAAGCAAUACCACCUCCUGUCCAGGAUAGGAAAACAUUCCUAAACCCAUAAUCAAACUUCCUUACCCCCCACGACAGAAGAAGAAAAAUCAACAUGAGAAGAAUUUUCGAGAAAUUUCUGGAGAUGUUCAAGAAACUCGAAAUCAAUAUCCCUUUUUCUGAAGCAUUGGAACAAAUGCCAAUAUAUGCCAAGUUCAUGAAAGACAUAAUUUCCAAGAAGCGUUCCACUGAUACUGGACCGAUCAUCCUGACUAAAACAUGCAGUGUCGUUCUCCAAGGCAUGAAAAUACCAAUGAAAAAGAAAGACAGGGGAUCGAUUACUAUUCCUUGCACUAUUGGUGAUCGAAAAUUCAAGAAGGCUCUGAUUGACUUAGGAGCGAGUGUAAGUUUGAUGCCAGUGUCCAUCUAUAAGAAAUUAGGCAUCGAUUAUGUUCAAGAUACUCGAAUGACCCUUCAGUUUGCGGAUCACUCUGUUCGGCGACCCUAUGGUAUUGUGGAAGAUGUUCUUGUAAAAAUUGACAAGUUUGUCUUUCCAGUCGACUUCGUCAUUUUGGAAAUGCCAGAGGAUGAGGAGAUCCCUCUCAUAUUGGGAAGACCUUUCUUGGAAAUAGGACGAUGUAUGAUAGAUAUUGAGGAAGGAACUAUGACCCUUAAGAUCUAUGAUGAAGAACUAAAGAUAGAUGUGAGGAAUACCAUGCAAUACAAAGAUGGUGUUGGCACAAGCAACACUAUAGAGAUAAUCGACCAAGUAAUUGCUCAAGAAAAUGACCAACAGAGACCCCGAUCACCUCUAAACCAGGUCUUAAGCUUGUCCAUUUUUUAAAGUAAUAAAGAUGAAGAAGAAUCUGAGGUGCUUGCUCUAAUGGAAAAACAACCUGAAUGGAUUAGAUCUAGACCACACAGGUGGGAAGAUCUAAGACCACCACCAUCCGAUGUCACUGAAGAACCCAAAAAAGGGGUGAAUCUGAAGCAGUUGCGAACAAAUCUGAAGUAUGUAUUUCUAGACACCGAAGAAAAAUGUCCAGCCAUCAUUAAUGUUAGUCUACAGAGUGCCCAAGAGGCAGAACUCAUUCAAGUGCUAAAAAAAUACAAGGGUGCAAUCGGAUGGGCAAUUGAGGACUUAAAAGGUAUAAGCCCUACUGUUUGCAUGCACAAGAUCUUAAUGGAGGAUGACCACAAAUAUUCAACCGCAACGAAGACUUAACCCAGCCAUGAAAGAAGUGUCGCAAAGAGGUUGUAAAACUCUUGGAUGUGGGCCUAAUCUACCCUAUCUUCGAUAGUUCUUGGGUAAGUCCAGUUGUGGUACCCAAAAAAGGGGGCACAACGGUAAUAAAGAAUGAAAAGAAUGAGUUGAUUCCAACCCGCACUGUUACAGGUUGGAGAGUGUGCAUCGAUUACAGAAGGCUAAAUAUGGCAACAAGGAAGGGUCACUUCCCGUUACCAUUCAUUGAUCAAAUGCUGGAACGGUUAGCAGGGCACGAGUACUAUUGUUUCCUAGACGGUUAUUCAGGGUACAACCAGAUUGCGGUUGCCCCUGAAGACCAAGAGAAGACUGCAUUCACAUGCCCCUAUGGUAUUUCCGCUUAUAGAAGAAUGUCAUUUGGCUUGUGGAACGCAUCGGCCACAUUUCAAAGGUGUAUGACUUUUAUUUUUGCUGACAUGCUCGAAAAGCAUAUGGAAGUAUUUAUGGAUGACUUCUCGGUGUUCGGUUCUUCAUUUGAUAACUGUUUGACUAACCUGUCACUUUAUUUAGAAAGACGCCAGCAAACAAAUUUGAUCCUGAAUUGGGAAAAAUGUCACUUCAUGGUUCGAGAAGGAAUAGUAUUGGGACACAAGAUCUCCAACAAGGGUAUCGAAGUGGAUAUAGCAAAAGUGGAGGUAAUAGCAAACUUACCACCACCAGUAAAUGAAAAAGCCAUCUGAAGCUUCUUAGGACAUACGGGUUUCUACCGCAGGUUCAUAAAAUAUUUCUCCAAGAUUGUCAAACCAUUGACUAGUCUGCUGGUAAAAGAUACCACGUUCUUAUUUGACAAAGAAUGCAGGAACGCCUUCGAGACCUUGAAGAAGGAGUUGGUGUCAACACCCAUAGUUAUUUCCCCAAAUUGGUCUCUUCCUUUUGAGAUAAUGUGUGAUGCAAGUGAUAACGUAGUGGGGGCACUAGGGCAACGCAAGGAUAAGCUCUUGCAUGUGAUCUACUAUGCAAGCCAUGUACUCAACCCUGCUCAAAUGAACUAUGCAACCACAGAAAAAUAACUCCUGGCGGUGGUAUACGCUUUUGACAAAUUCAGAUCCUAUCUGCUGGGAUCAAAGGUAAUUGUAUAUACUGACAAUGUUGCUUUGAAAUAUCUUUUUGCAAAACAGGAAUCCAAGUCGAGGCUGCUGCGAUGGAUCCUCCUACUACAGGAAUUCGAUCUGGAAAUCAGAGAUAAAAAGGGUAGUGAAAACACUAUUGCUGAUCACUUGUCUCGGAUGACUCCGAUUCAAGAAACUGAAGAAACACACCCCAUCAGAGAUGAGUUCACAAACGAACGCAUUCUAGCCAUUACGCAUAUCCCAUGGUUCGCCGAUUACGCGAACUUUAUGGUAGGUGGACUGAUACCUGAUGACUUUGACUCUAACAGACAAAAAAAGUUUUUGCAUGAUUGCAGGUUCUAUGUAUGGGACGAUCCAUUCCUUUACAAAAAGGGAUUAGAUGGUCUAGUCAGGAGACGUGUUCUAGAGGAAGAGCAAAGGGACAUUUUAAAAGCCUGUCAUAACUCCGAAUAUGGAGGACAUUUCAGCGGAGACAGAACCGCAGCCAAAGUCCUCCAAUCUGGAUUGUACUGGCCCACACUGUUCAAAGAUGCCCAAGCAGUGGUAAAAGAGUGUGACCGAUGUCAAAGAACAGGAAGCAUAUCUAAAAGAAAUCAGAUGCCUCAGAAUGCCAUGUUAGAAGUCGAAUUGUUCGAUGUGUGGGGGAUAGAUUUUAUGGGACCCUUCCCACCUUCCUUCGGAAAGCAGUACAUUCUAGUUGCGGUGGACUAUGUGUCAAAUUGGUGGAAGCAGUUGCACUGCCUACAAAUGAUGCAAAGGUGGUGAUCAACUUCCUCAAGAAUUGUAUCUUCGCACGGUUUGGGGUACCAAGAGCACUUAUUAGUGACGAAGGUACUCACUUCCUAAAUAAAUUGAUGGAAAACCUACUGCAGAAAUACAAUGUCAAGCAUAGAAUCGCCACUCCAUACCACCCCCAGACCAGUGGACAGGUUAAGGUAUCCAAUCGGCAGAUCAAGCAAAUCCUAGAAAAAACUGUCAGUGCCUCUAGAAAGGAUUGGUCAAUCAAACUCGAUGACGCACUCUGGGCGUACCGAACAGCGUUGAAAACACCGAUAGGUAUGUCCUCUUAUCAGUUAGUCUAUGGUAAAGCUUGUCACCUGCCACUUGAACUUGAGCAUAGGGCAUUCUGGGCCACCAAAUUCCUCAACUAUGAUCUAGCCAAAGCGGGAAAAUCUUGGAUCCUUCAAUUACAAGAGCUGGAAGAGUUCAGGAAUCGAGCGUAUGAGAAUGCCAAGAUAUACAAGGAACAAACCAAAACCUAGCAUGACAGGUGCAUUCAGAAGAAAGACCUUCAGAAAGGACAACUGGUGUUAUUAUUCAACUCAAGGUUGAAACUCUUCCCAAGGAAACUGAGGUCCCGAUGGUCGGGACCCUUUGAGAUACAAAAGGUAUUUUCACAUGGAGCCAUUGAACUACGAAAUCCAGCGAACGGAGACACGUUCAAGGUAAAUGGGCAGAGAGUGAAACCAUACAUACAAGACCAGGAGGAUGGUCCUAUAGAAAAAUUCUGUCUCACCUAAGCAGAUGAAGAACCGUCGAGACAUUAGACGUUAAAAGAAGCGCUUCGUGGGAGGCAACCCACGUUUUUUAAUCCUAAUUAGUUGUAUGUGUUUGUAGGCAUACAGGGGUUCUACAAGGAGGAGCCAGAAGAACCAACGGUCGACCUGACAAGAAAACCAACAAAUGGCCAAAAGGACAGCCUGACACGGCCACCUGUGUCAGCUGACACGGGCCGUGUCAGAAGAGGGAAAAUACAGAAAGGAUGCUUGAAAACAGUGGCCUGACACGGCCACCCGUGUCAGCUGACACGGGCCGUGUCAGGAACACUGUAAGAAAAAUAGUUUUAAGGAUGAUAAAACAGUGGCCUAACACGGCCCGUGUCAGGAACAUUAUAACAGAGUUGGUGGAAAAUGGUAAACAGUAGCCUGACACGGCCACCCGUGUCAGCUGAUACGGCCGUGUCAGGCGUGCGGAUUUUUUGAAAUUUUUUUGAAAAUUUUUAAUUUUCAUGGGGCCCACCCACUUAAACCACUCUUAACCACUCUUUUUUCCCUUAUCACUCAUCAUUAUCAGAUUUUUACAAAACUUAUCAUCACUCUCUCUCAUACUUUUUCAUCUUCUUCUCUCACUCUCUUACAAACUCCAUUAAAACUCACUCACCUCACCAUACAAAACCCUACAUGCAACCAAGUUCCACUCACCUAUAGCCCAAACACCCUUCACAAAUAUUCCUCACCUCACCGUCCCGGUCGCAACCACGAUUUUAGAUUUUUCUAACUUAAAAGUUCGGAAUUUUGCUAUUUUUGCAGGUCCAAAAUGUACUCGAACAGAAUCCUUACCGGAAAGCAACAACGCGCAGAGAUGGAGAAGUCCCAGAAGCGCCUGAGCCGGAAUCCUAAUCCCCAUAAUAUUUUGUUUGACAACCCAGAGCAAGAGCGACGUUACCAAAUUCACCGGAAGCGAAAGCUCACGCCGACCAGGUAUAUGUGUGAGAAUACUCUGACCGCUCUAGGGCUGAAAAUUGAGGUAGACCGAAUGUUCCAUGUCUUGGGCAUGCUCGAGUUUAUGAGUUUGGAGGCGCUGACCUCUGAGCGCAUUACUCUCGAGUUCCUCAACACUUUGGAGUUCCAGCUGGAAAAGCGGUGGGUUAGCACAACCAGCUAUUAUUUUGGCACCUUACGUUUCCGAUUGUUUAACAAUUAUCAUGAGUUGUCUAUUGAGGAGUUAGUUGCAAUACUCCGACUCCCGCUGAACAGACCCGGAGCGGUCCCUGACGGGUUUUCUCCUAAGGAUUUCUGGAUCGCCAUAACUGGGAGGACGGAUUACUCCUCCAAAGGUGCGAAAGCCUCGGGCAUCCAGAAUCCCUGUUUCAGGUACGCCCAAAAAGGUUUAGCCUACAAUUCUGGAUCGCCAUAACUGGGAGGACGGAUUACUCCUCCAAAGGUGCGAAAGCCUCGGGCAUCCAGAAUCCCUGUUUCAGGUACGCCCAAAAAGGUUUAGCCUACACAUUGUUCGGUAGAGGCGACAUCACUGGAGUAGCUACUCAGAGAGAGCUAUUCUUCAUGUAAUCGAUGGCUCAAACCAAGACCAUCAAUGUAGCUGCCUUUGCAGCAGACUACCUGAGGAGAGUCGGCCGAGCAAACUCCGGAGGCAUUUCCGUGGGAGGUAUGAUCACCCAAAUUGCAUUGCAUUUCGGGUAUCAGGCUGUUUUACUCGAGGACACGCCAAUUGUAGGUAAUACAAAAAUUGACAUGUCUGCUCUGAUUUCCCAAGGUAUGAUUGUGAUUCCCCCUACCUACUAUUCCGUCUUUAUUCAUAAAAGGUUUAUCAUCGCUCUGCCGGAUCCGGAAAGAGUUGCUAUCACUGAUUGUGCAAAUUGGUUAUAUGUGAGUGCCGAUCCCGAUGCAGAUGAAGGCCACGAAACUGACCACUUUAAUGCAGGUGAGCACUUUGUAGAUGACCAGGCAGAAGGAACGGAAAGAGAAGAAGAAUAUCCUCAAUCACCUCCUGAGCAGUUUGUUCCACAACCUCAGGAACCCACCCAACAGGCGACGGGUUCAUCAUCUUGGUCAACUGACCAAUGGAGCUGGGUACAGACCGAGCUAGGUGACUUGAGGACCGAACAACAAAGGCAAGGCAUCGAGCAAGCCCGUCAGGGAGCGAUGUUGGAUGAGAUGAGCAGCAUGAUGCGACAGUUGAUGUUGCAUUUCCCGCACCCACCUCCUCAGUAGAACCCUGUGAGUUCCCUCCUCCACGCUUGUUCACAAACAUUGUGGACAAUGUUGAGUUCAAGUGUGGGGGAGAUUUUAUGUAUUUUAUUGGUAAUUUGUUUUUGUGUUAUCUUUACUUUUUAAUUUUGUAUUAUAUUUUGUAUUCUAGAUUGAAUUUGUCUGUUGAAUGUACAUAUGCUGCAAGUGUGUGUGUCAAGUCUGUGUUGACAGGUUGGAAAAGUAAUGAUCACAAUUGAGAAUGGAUGAAAGAUCACACCACUCACCAUGGCUUGUUGUGAAGGAUCUCCCCAGAAAGUAACACUGCUGAAAAUAAAGAUCGGACGCAACGUAUACAGCUUAACCGACACGAGUAUCCUACACAUUCCGAAGUAAGAAAGCAAUUGCACCAAAUUAAGAAGCACUGUGGAUCCUGUCAAAGCUGAACCAAACCAAGUGAGUCAGAAAAGGCCAAACACAUUAAUCAUCAUGAGCGUCAUUCAGGUUUGUCUUAUUAAGAAGCACUGUGGAUCCUGUCAAAGCUGAACCAAACCAAGUGAGUCAGAAAAGGCCAAACACAUUAAUCAUCAUGAGCGUCAUUCAGGUUUGUCUUUAUCACUCUAAAUUUGCGUAGACUCUCUAGGACUGUCACUGGAUGAUACACACACUGAGGCACGUUGUUUGUAAUUAACCCCGAGCCUUUCUAGCCAUCCCGAAUCAUUACAUCCCUCGUAACCCCCUUUGAGCCUAUAUCCAUUUUUGUUUAAAACACCAUGAAUGCAACCAUUGGCCAAAAACACUUCCUCACCCUGUUCAGAGUCAUGAGAAUACAUUCCAACUGUGUUGAAAAGCUAAGUUUGGGGUAAAAACCCCAAAGCUCUCAAAGCCCUAGAAAGUGCAAAAACAAAAUAAAAAGAAAAAUUGAUGAAUCGAGAAAAAGAAAUAAAAAAAAAUCAUAUAAUUGAUGAUUCAAAAGAAAAAGCACGAAAAAGGGCAGUCGGUAAAAAUUCAAGAAAACAAAACCGAGGAAAUAAAAGAAACAAACACAGGAUGUAACAUCGACUCUGAACCAAAAGCCCAUUAUUUUCCUCUUUUUUUUGAAUCCACACCCUAACCCAAGCCAAGUUACAACCCGAAAGACCUCAAAAAGUGUAUGUGUUGUGUGUAGGUGAUUAGAAAAGAGAGACUAUUCAAACUUGUGAGUGAUAUUGCAUACUUUGAAUUAUGAGUGUAAACAGUUAACCCCGAGAGAAUUGGUGAGAAUGUGAAAUAAGCUGACAGGUGAAACGGUGCUUUAAAGUAUGAGUGUAAACAGUUAACCCCGAGAGAAUUGGUGAGAAUGUGAAAUAAGCUGACAGGUGAAACGGUGCUUUAAAGUGGAAGUGUGAAUGAUGACUUACGAGGAUGGGUAGGACUUGUGGAAGGAAAACGGAAGACGUUUGCGAAUGAUCUCAGCAGUGGUGGAAAGCAUAAGGAAUUCUGGGGCGUGAUAAUGAAACAUUACUUGGGACAAGAAAUGAGCUAAGUUUGGGGUUGUGAUCAGUCACCAUUUAUAGUAAGUUUUCAUUACUGAUCCGACGCAAAAUAGAGACAUUUGAUACACUGUGCAAGCAUUUAAGGUACAACUCGAUUAGUUUUACUUCCGUUAUUUUAUUUACGCAUUAUUAAUCUUGUUAUAUUUUACUUUGUUUAUCUUAAUUUUAUGCGUGGGAUAACUGUGUUUUUGUCCGACAGAUCCAGGUAGAAGAACCGAAGAACUCAGAACACGACAGUGCAAGAGACCGGCACGCAAAAGAGCAGAAAACCCUGGUACAGGAGGCCUGACACGGGUCGUGUCAGGGCAAGGGAAGCAGAAGAAAGAAAACAGUAGCCUGACACGAGCCGUGUCAUGCAGAAUUCGGGGAAUUUCCCCAUUAUUACUAUAAAAGGAAAAAUAGUACACUUGCUAUUUUCCCGAUCAAAUAUUCUAUCUUUCAAACCUAACGCUAGGGGCAAAUGGACUCCUAAUUAUGAAGGCUCAUAUGUUGUUAAGAGAGCCUUUUCAGGCGGUGCUUUGAUCCUUACAACUAUGGAUGGUGAAGAGUUCACUCGUCCUGUGAACGCAGAUGCUGUCAAGAAAUACUUUGCCUAAAAAAGAAAAGAACGACUCGCUAAGUUGAAAACCCGAAAAGGCGGCUUUGGCAAAAAUGAGUGUCUCGGUGGAUUGAAAACCCGAAAGGGCGAUCCAAGAAAAAGUUAGAGACAAAAAAACAGAAAAAUUAUCCCGAUAAAUUGAGUACCCCACCUUGGGGAAAUUUAUGCAAAAAUAAGGGAUUAUAGAAAGUAACUGCAUCCUGCUGAUCUUCAGUUUUGAAGACAUUCUUGAGCAAGUCGGUUAAUUCUAUUUCAUCAUCCUCAUGGGGACGCCAAGAGCACAGCGGAUAUCAAAAGUUGGUAGAAGCAUUAGUGAUCAUUGUAUUCAAUGUAGCCCUUUUCCAUGUAAAUUACCAUUUUUCAACUUUUGUAAAGAUCUAUGGAGUCUUGUCAUUUACAGACUACCAUCCUAUUAAAUAAAGUUGAGCUUUUAUCCAAUUGUUUCUACUAUUACCAUUUUUCAACUUUUGUAAAGAUCUAUGGAGUCUUGUCAUUUACAGACUACCAUCCUAUUAAAUAAAGUUGAGCUUUUAUCCAAUUGUUUCUACUCUUAUUUAUUAUUCAGCCAAAUAGAUUUUAAUUUUAUUAUGAUCAUGUUUGAAAUUAAAUUUUAAAUCAAAAUCAUGUUUUCUUAAAUAUAUAAAAGUAGUUACUUUAAGAAAUCGAUAUCAUUUAAAGGAAUAUCAACAGCGGUUUGAAAAAUGGUGAGCCCUAAAUGUGGAGCAUUGUUGGUUCUCCCCCCAGUAGUGGGCGUGAUCCCUAUUUCAUCCCUCGCAGUUUUUCAGCGACGUGGUUUUGUUGGUUUCCCAAGCUGAGUUUGUUGGCCUCCCUUGAGUUGUAGGCGCGUUAUUAAUGGGUUUAAUAGAAUUUUACUUCCCCACAAGUCGUCAGAGUUAGUCCUGAUUUUGAGCAGCUAUUAUGGUUAUCCCCUGCAAGGUUUUCUCCCAUUUGAUAUGAAGUUGACCUAAAAUUCCCCACAGAGUUUGUAGCAGUUUCCUCAGUGGAUCCUCUCCUUGUGCUUUCCCCAUCCCGGAUUGAGCCAUCGAGACGUUUGAUCUCUCUCCAGCUGUUGUUUCCCUCCUGUGAGGAUUGGCUAGGAGUUGUAUCGAUGAUCCAAACCAAUGACAUUUGUAUCCUUCGUGAUCAUUUUGUAAGCAUAAUCAUCAUAUAUACAUAUACAUAUACACUCAUAUAAUUUCAUUAUUGCAUUAUUACACUUGGUGGUGCAUUGUUCAUUUUGAUCCUUUGCUAUGGUGGUAUACUUUUCCCCCAUGAAGAUUUAGUUUGUCUGUCCUCUUUCAAUUGUAGAAUGUCAGCCCAUUAAGCAGAAAAACUUUAACCUUUCUCUUUCCCCACAGAGUUAUUUCCUCGUGGAUGGUCAUUAUUUCAGUCUACUCCCAAGUGGAUUAUCUGGAUGAAACCACUCCCCUUGAGUUAGAUCCUCAUUGGGUUGAGUCUUUGAUUGACCAUUUCUUUCUAGAUCUUACCUAGAUAUAUGCUUUUGGUUCCCUUAGAGUUUAUUACCGAGUAAUUGGUAAUAUUCUUCUUAUUUUGCAAGUAUUGUCACUUUGCCCAAUACCCGGCGAGAGCAACUUUUUUAUCCCCAGCGAAUUCGUUUUCACGUUUCCCUGGGAAGUAUAUCUUUGAUAUGUUCAUCCUAACCGAUGACAGAUAUUUUAUUCCCCUACUUUAAGUUUAUACUUGAUAUGUUCAUCUUAACCGAUGACGAAUAUUCUCUUUUUGGUAUUCUACCCAGUAAAAAGGUAGUUGUAAUCCCUAUUUCUUCCCCAGAGAGUUAAUCCUUGAUAUGUUCAUCCUAAUCGGUGAUGGGUUUCCUUCUCUUUGCGGUCUUCUGUCCAAUAACCGAUAGUUAUAAAUCCUUCUUUUUCCCCUUCUGCAGAGUCUAUCCUUGAUAUGUUCAUCCUAAUCGAUGACGGAUGUUCUCUUGGUGGUAUUCUAUCCAGUAACUGAUAGAUAUAAUUCCUACUUUUCCCUUCUGAGUCUAUCCUUGAUAUGUUCAUCCUAACCGAUGACGGAUAUUCUCUUGUUGGUAUUUUAUCCUGUAUUCGAUAGAUGUAAUUCCCACUUUCUCAUGUAGUUUAUCCUUGAUAUGUUCAUCUUAACCGGUGACAAAUAUCCUUCCUAAUUUCCCCAGGCAAGUUUAUCCUUGAUAAGUUCAUCCUAACCGAUGAUGAAUUUUCUUUCCUUUGAGUUCAUCCUUGAUAUGUUCACUUUAACCAGUGACGGAUAUUCUCUCCCUUUGGUCUUCUACCCAGUAACUGGUAGUUGUAAAUCCUAUUUUGGCCUUUCCCUAACAACUUAUUCUUGCCCAGUAACUGGUAAUGAAUACACCUCCUGGUUUCCCUCAGUGAGCCAUCCUUGAUAUGUUUACCCUAACCAGUAACGAAUGUCUUCCCUGUCAGAAUUUGUUAUCCCCUUGACUAGUAUCCGGUAAUGGAUAAUAUAUUUCUAUCACUCCUGUGUUGAAGAUUGUUUCUUCCCCAGUUGAGCUUGUGUGCGUAUUUCUUCAAUGAAAUCGCCUUUCCCUACUUGGUUCGAGUAUUUCAGCUUUGUUCUGAUCUACCCGUUCCCCCAGAAGUUUUAAAAGUCGUAGCCUGGCCUACGCAUAACCCCUUUUAUCCCCUAGAGUCUUUGUACCCCCAAUUAGUUUUCCCUACGGAAUGCGUUAUACUCCUGCGAACUUCCAGUUUCUCCAGAUUCUUUUCCUUUGUGGCAACAUUUUCCCCACACAGAUUAUUUUUAACAUUCAUAUCAUAUGCAUCAGGAGGUCUCUUAGAGACCAAAAUUUGCUUCUAUAUGUUGUUAUUUAAGUCCAUUCUACUGAGUCGAUACGAAUAUUUUAACCUUCAUCUCCUCAACUAGGACGUCCUUAAAUAGGGGCAGCGGUAGGACUCCAAUUUUGACCCUAAGAUCCCUCAUGAUAUCUCAUCAUAUGCACUUCAUUCAUUGAGUUUGCAUUGGGAGAGAUCACCAAGCACAUUUGGUUGUAUCAUACUUUGUAUUUUAUCAUUUACUAACCAAAAAACCAAAAAUAUGUCAUUAUAUAGUUUGACUCUUUUUGUAGGUAGUGCACAUGCUCACCUUUGAUCUAUCAAGCUCACAUCUAGGAUUUAAGACCCUCAAUGCAAGGAGCUCAAUCAAGAAAUGGUUUAAUAUGUCUCUAAGUAUCAUAUGUGGAUCCCCGUGAUCUUCACAUGUUAUUUUGAUCAAGAAAUUAUCAAGAGUUUGGAAUUGGUUUGCCUGGGAAACCUUAAUUCAUCUAGGUAUCUUAUGUGACUUCUCCAACAAGCUUCUUCAACAAUUGAUCAAAUAUUUCAAGGGAUACUUCAAAUUUAAUCAUCUUAUGCAUAUAUGAUCCUCCAUGAGUCCCAAACGUCAAGAGAAUAGCAAGCUAGCAAGUUGGUUCAUGGUGGUUGACCAGAGGAAUUCAACUGAUCAAAACUGGGGUUCCCUAGACCCUAUCUCCUACAAUAUUUGUCAUAUGAAAAUGAUUCCAAGAGAAACGUUACUCUAAGUGACAUUCCAAACAACUUUCAUGUUGAGGUCUAUAGCUAGUUUUUCUUGGAAAGUCAUUUUUUGUGGAAACAUAUUAUAGGUCAUUUUGUCUAAACCCUAAUUUGGAGGUCAACUUACCAAGACCAUAACUUUCUCACUUUUUAUGGUAUGAAAGCUAUUAAAGUUUCAUCAUAUUCAAGAUGUCUACUUCAACUUCUAUGUUUGGAGGAAGAUCAAAUUCAACCUUUAAAUGCAUGUGAUAUGAGGAGACAUUAUAGGUAAUUUUGGACCAAUGCCAUUGAACAAGUGAUUUUCCUCAACUUAUAAAAUGCAUAACUCCUUCAUAAUAAAUCCAAAUGAGGUCACAUUUGUAACCAUUUUGAAGGAUAUUUAGAGAGUUACAACUUUGAUGAAGGAACUUUUCUCAUUUGAAGCUCAUAUAAAAAGUUAGGAAAGGUGAAAGAAGUGAACAUAUGGCUUGACACUUCGAAUUGUUUUUGAUAUAUAUGAUUUUCCAAACUUCCACCUAAAAAUUCAUCAUGAUCCAAGUUUCAAAUAAACAAGUGAUCAACAUGAAAGUUGUUCCUCUUGAUCUAAACUUUCCAAAAAAUCCAAAUUCAUCCCAUUUGGACAAAGUAUGAGUGACUUGCGCAUGGCUUAAAGUUAGAUCACCAUUUGGAAUAAUUGAACUUGCAUCUUCCAUACACAAAUGCAUGGCUUGCUAACAUGACUUCAGCAAUGUUUGUACAUAAUUUUGGACCUGAUUCAAUGAUUACAUGGGCCUAUCACACGCCCAUGUAUCCAUGCAAAGGUAAUUGCUAUUUUUGGAGUUUUGAAACAAGUGUGCAAAUAUCAAAUGCUUUGGCUAUAAAUAGAGCCCUCCAUGAUCAGAAUUGAGGACACUUGCGCGCCAGCUUUGAAUCCCCAGCCCUAAACCCUCUCAUUCAAAGGAUAACCUUGAGGAUUUCCAUUGGAAAUCGAGUUUGAAUCUCCACAUUUUUUAGAUUCAAAUCUCCAAGAGUCCUGCUUACUUUUUAAUUCAAUUCUACUCUAUCAAGCAUCCAGAGUAAGGCUAAGUGAAGUUGGAAGCAAGAUCGUGGCCAUCUGAACCUGCAAUGGAGGUGAUUUUCUCAUUUUUUUUUUCAUUUCUUUGAUUCUCACUCAAUUCUCCAUAAUUCUUCUUGAUUUUUGGUUGUAUGAAGUCCUACCAAUGUAGGCAAGAAGAUUGAGUUGCUUUGAGGUCAAAUCGAAGCAACUCAGGUCAUGAUCCUCAAAUUCCAACUCCUUAUAUCUUUUAAUAUACUUGGAGUUAGAUGAAAUUGAGGCCAGAUUCGAGCUCCUGAGUAUUUUUACUUUAAAUUCAUGUCCUCCUUUUUUAUUUUUGUGAUGGUUGAAGGUGGACCAGUCCGGUGAGGUCCACCGGAGAAGAAGACUGGAGUUAUAGCUUCGGCGGUGUGUUGGCACGCUUCUGAACCAUAUGAUCCUUUCAAUUUGUUUUAAUCUCACGCGCUGGUUUUGAUUACCAUCCCUGCAGCGCAUUGACUAGAGUCAAUCAUCGGACGCACGCUGAGAUCCACUUGAUCUGCCUCCUCAAUUAAUGAGGGAGAUCAAGUGGUCCACGUAUUUUUGCAUUUUCUGAUUUUUAGUUUAAUUGUUUAUUUUCAUUAAUUCAUAUUAAUUUUAAUAUUGAUCCAAAAAAUAUAAAUAAACUCCUCUUUCAUUUUCUGAAUUAAAAUUAUUUUUUGGAUCAUUAUUAAUAUUUUUCAUGAUUUAAUUGUUUUUGUGCAUAUUUUAAAUUGUUUAAAAAUACUUUUAAGUUUCCAAAAAUAUUGAAAUUUUUUCUCCAAGGUCCUUUGACCUUGUUAGACCUAUGAUAAAUCUCAUGGCCAUUUCUUAUGUGUUUUGAUGAGGUUUUAGGAUUUUGACCAACCAUAAUUUAAUUUAAUGCAUUUUUUAAUUGAUUUUAUUUGUUAACUUGCAAAAUAAAUUGUGUUGAGCUUUUGGUAUUGACUUGUUGAGUUUGACUUGUGUUGUUGGACCUUGGUCAAUGUUGAUUUGACUUUGUUGAGUUAAAAUCAUUGGAUUUAGGGGAUUGAUGAAAUGUACAUUUCAUCUCCCAAAAUGAAUGAAUGAUUUUAAUUUGAUAAAAGUCCUCCUUUGACCAAUUUGUGUUGAUAUUUAGGGGAUUGAUGAAAUGUACAUUUCAUCUCCCAAAAUGAAUGAAUGAUUUUAAUUUGAUAAAAGUCCUCCUUUGACCAAUUUGUGUUGAUUUCAUUUCCCCUCCCUCUUCAUCUCAAUCCCAUUCUAUUCUCAUUCAUUUCAUGGACCUAUGAUAUCUCUAUAUCCAAAGGCUAGUUGAUUGCAAAAUCAACAUAAGUAUGGAUGAGAUUAGGUCCACCCCUUUUGCAUUUUUUUAAGUGUGGUAUGUUUUAGGAGUAUGGUUAAUAAUACCAUAUCUCUAACAUGCAUUAGCACUAAAAUUUAUAUUGCCCGACCUCAAAUACUUGCGACUUCUACAUAAGUCCAAUUACAAUUGCUUAACACAGCGCUAAAUUUUGACACAAAAAGCAUAGCAUUCUAGUAAGUGAGAUUGUAAGUCUCCCCUCUUUCCUGGUAUUGUGUGGAAACGUGGCCUUUUUUCCUUCCUUUGGAAGAUGUCUCGGUUCAAUGAUCCAUGCUUGUGAAUACUGGGUUGAGUGUUCUCCAAAGAGUGGCUCAAAACAAUUGAAAAGCAAAAGCAAUAUUAACUUCUAAUCAACUAACAACUAACAUUUAAUUUCAAGCCAUUUACUUUUAUGCACUUUAAAUUCAAGUCUUUAUUCAUUUGCCAUUAUUCAUACCAUUUAACUUGUUUAUUCUAAUGUCAUUUUCACUUUGCUCACUUGAGCCAUACUUUGUGGUUAUAUUAUGAUCGUAUAUACUUGUUUGUUUUUGUGGUCCUUUGACCUUAAUGUACAUAAUAACAACAAAAACCCUAAAAGACAUUUGUGUGGACUGUUGAAUUUGAUCUGAGACAUUGGACUUAGAAUUAGGCAACACUCCCUAUGAAAAAGGACUUGGCCAAUGCCAACUUUUAUGAAACCAAGUGCUUGAGAAGUGAACUUUCAUCUAUUGCAAACAUUGAAGAUCCAUUUGAGUUCAUCUGCAACAUGAUUUUAAUGAAGUUGUUACUUUGAACCUAUAUCUAGUAAGCUAUUAUGAGCCAUUCAAGGAGUAAAUCAUCUGAUACAUGGGGAGAUUAUGAAGAAGAUCAUGGAGUUGCUAGCUUGGAUGUGACUAUCUUUAUUUGAUGCCUUGUUCUUCAUCUUUCUAUUUGUGUUUUGAUAUUGCUUGAUUCUAAAGUCCAAGGGAAAAUUGGGUUUCUAUAUGACAUUCUUGUCUAUUGGAUUGCAUCCCAUUGGUUAGAUCUUUUCAACUCUUAACUUUUAAAUUCUUGCUUAGGAUUAGUCUCUUCAUCUCUUUCCACUUCUUUAAUUUCAAAUCUCUCCCUCCUUUUAAAAUCUUCUUUGCUUGUGUUUUUCUAAACUUAGACUUUAUUACAAAAUUAGAAACUUUGGCCUUAUGUCAUUGCUUUUUCAAACUCUUUUUCUUAACCAAAUUUGUAAACGAACUUAACUAUACUUGACUUAAAAUUUUCAAAGGCCAAAAAGAACCAAUACUCAUUCAAACCUUUUAGGCCCCUUUAUGCCUCCUUCAAACUUAAAAUUUUGCUAAAAGCAACUCAUUCACUUUGAAAUUUAUACCCCGAACUACGAGGUUUUGAUCCCUUAUUUUUAUGUUGGUACGUAGGCACAAGUCCGAAGGUCUUGUCAAACACAAAAAUAUAAUCAAUGAAUUCUUU